This 253-nucleotide ribosomal RNA is filed under the name uncultured bacterium. Its description in RNAcentral is "partial 16S ribosomal RNA". It matches the Rfam family "Bacterial small subunit ribosomal RNA", at positions 524 to 776 of the family's 1533-position model. The record is from RNAcentral.
UACGUAGGGACCGAGCGUUGUCCGGAUUCAUUGGGCGUAAAGAGCUCGUAGGCGGCUGCUCAAGUCGAAUGUGAAAACUCGAGGCUUAACCUCGAGCCUGCAUUCGAUACUGGGCGGCUAGAGUCUGGUAGGGGGAUCUGGAAUUCCUGGUGUAGCGGUGGAAUGCGCAGAUAUCAGGAGGAACACCGGUGGCGAAGGCGGCUUGCUGGGCCAGUUCUGACGCUGAGGAGCGAAAGCGUGGGGAGCGAACAGG